GGCGCUCCCACUGUUCAGCGUUGUUUACUGGAACGGCUCUUUAAGGUUUCCUCACGGGGCUACCCAGAGGACCGUCUGUGCUGUGUGAUGCGAUCGAGCUUACAUAUAAGUAUCAUGUUCCUCAUCCACGGGUUCCUACUUCACGGGGAGGAACCACCUCAGUGCAUGCACUGUGCUGCCUCGACGUACUCAAGAAAUGGGUGCAAAACCUGAGCACCGCAAGCAGCACCUGAGCACCGCCUGAAAACCGCAGCACCUCCAAAAAGUAAAAGCAUAUGUGUCACAUGAGAUUUUUAAAUGUAUUCAUAGUAUAUAAUACCUUGUAUUAACUGUUGUAUA
Ornithodoros turicata is the source of this 339-nucleotide long non-coding RNA. RefSeq lists it as uncharacterized. Lineage: Eukaryota; Metazoa; Arthropoda; Arachnida; Ixodida; Argasidae. The record is from RefSeq and is a predicted model, not a curated record. The transcript is spliced from 3 exons.